Molecule: ribosomal RNA, 360 nt
Filed under: uncultured Desulfocapsa sp.
Lineage: Bacteria; Pseudomonadati; Thermodesulfobacteriota; Desulfobulbia; Desulfobulbales; Desulfocapsaceae
Description: bacterial SSU rRNA
Rfam family: Bacterial small subunit ribosomal RNA
Source: RNAcentral
CGGGAACCCGGUGACAGGUGCUGCAUGGCUGUCGUCAGCUCGUGUCGUGAGAUGUUGGGUUAAGUCCCGCAACGAGCGCAACCCUCGACCUUAGUUGCCAGCAUUCAGUUGGGCACUCUAAAGAGACUGCCGGUGUCAAACCGGAGGAAGGUGGGGAUGACGUCAAGUCCUCAUGGCCUUUAUGACCAGGGCUACACACGUACUACAAUGGCCGGUACAAAGGGCAGCCACUUAGCGAUAAGGAGCCAAUCCCGUAAAGCCGGUCUCAGUCCGGAUUGGAGUCUGCAACUCGACUCCAUGAAGUUGGAAUCGCUAGUAAUCGCAGAUCAGCACGCUGCGGUGAAUACGUUCCCGGGCCUU